Long non-coding RNA from Sceloporus undulatus (fence lizard), 1349 nucleotides. RefSeq lists it as uncharacterized. Lineage: Eukaryota; Metazoa; Chordata; Lepidosauria; Squamata; Phrynosomatidae. The record is from RefSeq and is a predicted model, not a curated record. The transcript is spliced from 6 exons.
UCCUGGUUGCUAACAUAACUAGUAUAUCAAGGCAUUAAACUUGUCUUCCUUGGAGUCAAUAGCACUGAACAUUUGGUGCUGAUUUUAGCAUGGCAAGGAUGAAACCUCCAAUUAUGAAAUUCUGCUGAAGCAAUGCAAAAUCAAAGCCUGCUCUUGCUGCAGAGAAAGCAACUGUCAGUUUCAAGCACUGACAGUAUAGUCCUGUGUGUGUUUUACUCAGAAGUCUCACUCAAUGGAACGUGCAUCCAGUAAAGAACUAUGCAACACAGGGAACACUUGGAGAUUGCCCAGAAGGAUCCAAGAGAACCUCACCAAGCUGUAACAGGGUGCAAAGUGGUGCAGGGACUGGGAGCAAUUCCAUCUGUUCAUCCCACCGCACACAAGCCUGAUGGACACCCAGCCAAUAGACACACUUUCUUUUUUAACCUACAUCUAUAAUAACAUUUAGAUUUAUUGGAAAAAGAAAUCUUUGACCCACUGGGUGAAAACCUGAGACUGCCGUCUUUGUCAUGAACAUACAUAUAAAAAACCAAAUUGAAGAGAGCUUAUGAAUAAAUGAAUGAAUAAAUAAGUGAAUAAAUGAUGAAGCACUCAAUUUAAUUACAUGUACUGCAAUAGUAUUUACUGGAUAAGGAAACUAUAUGUCUGUUACUUCUCUCAGCCUUCUACUACUUCACACUGGGACCCAAAGUAACUGGAAAAUGCUUUAGCUGCUAAGAAUUUUUCAUAACCACUUUCAGAUAGCUAAAUUGCCAAGAGGUGAUCCACAAACCAUAAUAUCCUUUUUAAGACAGCAACAUACGUCCAUAAAAAGACUUUACCUGGAGUACUGUGUCUAAUGCUGGGCACCACAGUUCAGGAAAGAUAUUGGUAGGUUGGAUUGUGCCCAGAGGAGGGUGAUCAAGAUGAUAAAAGGUUCCAUGAUACAUUCCAGCUUACUGAUCAUUGUGGGCACCAGCAGCUUCUAUAACAGAGAAUGUUUUUGACUACCUUUGGUGGUUGGCCCACCUGUGAUCUUAUCUUUAUUUGUGUAGUCUGUUCUUUGACUACCUCUAGACUAUAUUGUUGCUUUCUGCUAGGUGUCUCCAGAGACACAUUGGAAAAUACAACUAGUGCAGAACCAAAUAUAAUCAAAUAAGGUCACAAAAGCAUAUUUUUAUCCAAGAACCAUUAACAAGAUCUGAAAAGUCUCAGACCGAUCAGAUGGGAUAAACAGGACUAAUAAUGGAGAGAAAAGGUGGCAGAAGUGAUCACAAUUUUAGCGUUUUGGUCGUUAGGAUUAUGAAAAAAUUAUCUAUGAGGAGCUAAAGCUAGGAUCAUUUUUAUACAUAAAAGCCUGUAUGUAUUGA